This 97-nucleotide microRNA precursor is filed under the name Equus asinus (donkey). Its description in RNAcentral is "mir-544 microRNA precursor family". It matches the Rfam family "mir-544 microRNA precursor family". The record is from Rfam by way of RNAcentral. RNAcentral also lists the same sequence under 1 other name. Lineage: Eukaryota; Metazoa; Chordata; Mammalia; Perissodactyla; Equidae.
AUCACCUGGGGAUCUUGUUAAAAUGCAGAUUCAGGUUCAGUGGCUGGAGUUGGAGCCUAAGAGUGUGCAUUUCUAGCUAGUUCCCAGGUGAGGCUGA